This 495-nucleotide ribosomal RNA is filed under the name uncultured Glomus. RNAcentral's name for it is "SSU rRNA". It matches the Rfam family "Eukaryotic small subunit ribosomal RNA", at positions 569 to 1068 of the family's 1831-position model. Lineage: Eukaryota; Fungi; Glomeromycota; Glomeromycetes; Glomerales; Glomeraceae. The record is from RNAcentral.
AGCAGCCGCGGUAAUUCCAGCUCCAAUAGCGUAUAUUAAAGUUGUUGCAGUUAAAAAGCUCGUAGUUGAAUUUCGGGAUCAAUAUGUUGGUCGUGCCUUGGUACGUACUGGCAUUAUCGAUUCCUACCUUCUGAAGAACUUCGAUGUCAUUAAUUUGGUGUCUUGGGAAAUCAGGACUGUUACUUUGAAAAAAUUAGAGUGUUUAAAGCAGGCUCGCGCUUGAAUACAUUAGCAUGGAAUAAUGAAAUAGGACGUUUGAUUCUAUUUUGUUGGUUUCUAGGAUCGACGUAAUGAUUAAUAGGGAUAGUUGGGGGGCAUUAGUAUUCAAUUGUCAGAGGUGAAAUUCUUGGAUUUAUUGAAGACUAACUACUGCGAAAGCAUUUGCCAAGGAUGUUUUCAUUAAUCAAGAACGAAAGUUAGGGGAUCGAAGACGAUCAGAUACCGUCGUGGUCUUAACCAUAAACUAUGCCGACUAGGGAUCGGAUGAUGUUAAUU